GUCCCUAUAGAGCAUUGGGUAGCGCGUUGGACUUUUAAUCCAAAGGUCGUGGGUUCGAAUUCCACCUGGGAUG
Trichonephila inaurata madagascariensis is the source of this 73-nucleotide non-coding RNA. The record is from the annotation of a GenBank genome assembly. Lineage: Eukaryota; Metazoa; Arthropoda; Arachnida; Araneae; Nephilidae.